Molecule: ribosomal RNA, 826 nt
Filed under: uncultured bacterium
Lineage: Bacteria
Description: bacterial SSU rRNA
Rfam family: Bacterial small subunit ribosomal RNA
Source: RNAcentral
GAGUUUGAUCCUGGCUCAGAUUGAACGCUGGCGGCAUGCCUUACACAUGCAAGUCGAACGGCAGCACGGAGCCUGCUCUGGUGGCGAGUGGCGAACGGGUGAGUAAUAUAUCGGAACGUACCCUGGAGUGGGGGAUAACGUAGCGAAAGUUACGCUAAUACCGCAUACGAUCUAAGGAUGAAAGUGGGGGAUCGCAAGACCUCAUGCUCGUGGAGCGGCCGAUAUCUGAUUAGCUAGUUGGUAGGGUAAAAGCCUACCAAGGCAUCGAUCAGUAGCUGGUCUGAGAGGACGACCAGCCACACUGGAACUGAGACACGGUCCAGACUCCUACGGGAGGCAGCAGUGGGGAAUUUUGGACAAUGGGCGAAAGCCUGAUCCAGCAAUGCCGCGUGAGUGAAGAAGGCCUUCGGGUUGUAAAGCUCUUUUGUCAGGGAAGAAACGGUGAAGGCUAAUAUCCUUUGCUAAUGACGGUACCUGAAGAAUAAGCACCGGCUAACUACGUGCCAGCAGCCGCGGUAAUACGUAGGGUGCAAGCGUUAAUCGGAAUUACUGGGCGUAAAGCGUGCGCAGGCGGUUUUGUAAGUCUGAUGUGAAAUCCCCGGGCUCAACCUGGGAAUUGCAUUGGAGACUGCAAGGCUAGAAUCUGGCAGAGGGGGGUAGAAUUCCACGUGUAGCAGUGAAAUGCGUAGAUAUGUGGAGGAACACCGAUGGCGAAGGCAGCCCCCUGGGUCAAGAUUGACGCUCAUGCACGAAAGCGUGGGGAGCAAACAGGAUUAGAUACCCUGGUAGUCCACGCCCUAAACGAUGUCUACUAGUUGUCGGGUCU